Long non-coding RNA from Aedes albopictus (Asian tiger mosquito), 6018 nucleotides. RefSeq lists it as uncharacterized. The transcript has 3 exons. The record is from RefSeq and is a predicted model, not a curated record. NCBI's taxonomy places the organism in Eukaryota, Metazoa, Arthropoda, Insecta, Diptera, Culicidae.
GGAGGUUGAUGAGAAGAAAAUGAAGGUCGAUUAGAGGAUGAUUAUUUGGAAUGCCGGGCGGUAGCUGGUAGAGAUAAGAGUUUAAUUGGGCUCGUAAAAGUUUAAACGCGACCUGGCUCAAUUCGGAAUGGGGGUCGAUUGCGGUAGAUAAGCCGUUUGGGUGCGUUCGAUGCUAGGUCCGGCUUUCGCGACUAGGACACACAUAGUUUAGAAGAGAAGUUAUGAGACAGCCUCAAGAAGCUUUACAAAGUCAAAAUAACGGCUUUAAGUUGUUGCAGCUUUUGACUUAUUUCAAGUCUAAAACCCAAGCUCAAAGGUUUAUCAUUUUUUCUAAUACACCAUGAUGAGAAACGCCAUUUGUUUGUAGUCAGUUCAUACACAAUCACACCUCGCCAAGUACAAAAGUAAUCCCAUCAAUCAAUAAAUGAACGAAUCGCAAAAGAGCGCGACAUCCGUCAGUUCGCUGUGGCACGGAGAAACCAUUAUCAUUCUCACCCGUUUGUGAUUAUCAUCACCGUCAUCAUCAUCACAUCACAUCACAGCAGGCACAGCCAUCAAUCGCAAGAGGACGGCAGUCGAGAGCAAGAAAACGAAGUAGGCCGCACUCUUGGGCACGUCUUCAAUCUUCUCCCGUCGUCGCCAUCAUCGUCGAGGUGUGAUCAAUCACUUAUCAGUCACAUAAUUUCGCUUUAACCCAGGUGAGCUUAGGACUGGCCUCUCGUUCCAAAAACUCUGAUAAGAGAGCAAACCCGUCCCGGCGCUGUCUGUCUGCGCUGGGUCAUCUUUGUUCCGCACGUCAUCCGGAAGAGUAGUUUUGCAAUCUGCGCUCGCGAGCACACGCGUCAUCACAGCAAGCGCAGAGAUCAAAGGAACCGUAGCGGCCACGUCAGUCAGUCCGGAUAGAGGAACAAGCGGUAAAAAAAAUCUAGAUCACCUUCCAGUUCGGAGGAAAAGAGCGCAUCCACGCCUUUAUUUGAAUGCCCCGAAAGAUAAGCAGCCGUCGGCUCGGGCGGACGGGAGAUAGAUGGCACUGAUUCAUCAUCUGGCUACAAUGCGCGGUCGGUAACGCAGCAGGCGGGCGUCGUCAAUCAGCGCGGAGUCCGGAGUAAACAUUCGAUCUGUCACAACGCUCGCUAAAAAAUAAAAAAUCCCCCAUCAUUGCAAGGUGGGAAUCGAACGGGAAGAUAAGGAACAGCCAGGGAGACCGGAGUCCAACCAAACCGGAGAAGUCAUCGUUGCUCGUCACCGUGUGAUUGAUCGGUUCGGGGUGACCAACAUCCGGAGCAGUUCGAGGAAGAGGCAUCGUAAAAGCCAAAUUGCCGCCGACGCAUCGCGCAUGCUUGAUCGAGAAGAUCCAGACCAGAAGAAGACUCUCUUCCCAGAAGAGAGAUUUACACGCCACUCGAAGGGGCGUCAUCACGCGUGUGAUUUAUGGUUCCUCUAGUCCUCUGUCCCCGCAAGUCCCCUGUCACCAGCAGUGGAAGGCGUUAAUUUUAAUCGACGCCCCAUCGCGGCUUGAAUUCUUAAUCAGGGGCUCGUCCGCACGGAGACACCGGAAGCUGCGCGGUCUGUCGCUUGCGUUUUUUAUUGAAGACCACAAAUUGCAUAAUCGGACAUGUGCGAGCGGCGUGACAGGAGCGGAGGCAGAGGCGUUUAGGCGGGCAAUUGGCGGCGGUCGCCAUUAAGCAAAUUACACGUAAAGAGGCGACGCUGCGCUGCGCGUCUCGCGGGCGGCUGGGAAACUCUUUGUUUGCUCUCGUCGUCUUUCUCUGAUUUGUGCGGAUCGUAGUAGUCGUUGAAGUUGAACGAAUCGCAUGGAGACCAAAAGUGAAGUUCAAGGUUGAAAACGGUGACACCGCGCCGCCGGCCCCCAAAGGGGGAUGAGAGGUAAAACACUCUCUCUGGUGGAAGGAGAGAAGUCGACGGCGUUCAUUGGACAUGCGAGAGAAUAUCUGCCAGUGGAAUCCUGCGUGUUACAAUUAACUCAAUUUGUCUGUUUCCAUUACUGCGUGUACUUUGAUUAGUUUGUGUCUAUUCCUUUGUUGAUACUCAGAGUAAUGUUUUUGUUUUGAUUGAGCAACACCACUGACUGCUGUGAUGUUCAUUUUCCUCCCGUUGCAAGAAAAGCGGCACAACAUAAAAGCAUAAAAAAGUCGAGCAUCAGCAGUGGAAGAAGAUGGCGAGGAGGUGAUGUGCGUUUUUGGACAGGGGAAGACAUCUUGGAAAAAGAUAAAGUAAACAGUGAUCAAAGCAACGAUAAGACUCCGCCAAUCAAUGCGAAUCGUUUCUAUGACGUAGGAGUGUGUCACACCGAAGGUUGUCUCCAGGUCGUGAGAGUGACAAGUGCCAGAAAGUUCUCCGGAAAGUGUAAGUAUAUAAGUACAGUGAAAAAGGGGUUUUGGAUCGCCUCCAUUGACUUACUGUGGGGGCUCAGCCAAUAGAGUUCCUCGAGCUUGAAGAUAACCACCAAAAAGGACGAAGUCAGAAGUGUACAAAGGGGCGUUAUUCCCUGCGUAGCAUACUGCAGGACCACUGGGAUCAGCUACGGUGAGUAUUUGGUUCAGUGUUAAACACCAGUGUCGUUAGGGGGGAUCCGACAAAGGAAUUUACCUUGUACCCUAGCUAAUUGCAAAGGACCGCUGCUUCGGCGACGAAUUAACUCGCUGAAGAGGAGUAGGACGUGAAAAAGAAGAACGAGAAGUCAGUGGAAUAAGCAGAAGAAGGAAAAGAAAACUCCGUAUAUCCCGUGUGAGUUGAUGACAACUCUAAACCGUAGCUUGCGCGCCAUCGCCUUGGCAUCCAAGUCCGAUGUAGCGAGAAGAAGUUUUCCAUCAAUCAACGGUUCUACAUCCAAAAGUUGUCGGAGCGUUCUGGGUAAAUCGAAGCGAUGUCGUCGAACGUUCCUUUGAACCCUGGUCAAGAAACCGCCGAACGAUUACCAAUAUUCAAGUCAAAGCUCCACAAAGUAUCACAAUGACAACCUCGACAUCUCACUGAUGCUUAGCUAGGGGAAGCACACACAAGGGGAAUGUCAUUAACCCACAAACAGAUAGUUAUUUGACCUUCGAAUGCACUACAACAGACGAGGAGGAGAAAUGAAAUCAUCACUGUAAGCCUCAGCAAUGAACAACAAGGAUGCAGAACAAGUCAUCCUAACCUCCUAACCGAGAACUUUUUAGCGUUCUGCAGCAGCUAGUUUUCGCGCAAUCAGCAAACGAUCCGUGUUUGUACGAUCGAAGACGAGACAAUCUGAUUUGAGUGAUAUGGUCAUCGCUUGAUGACGACUCUAAGUCGCAACUUGCACGCCAUCUACUGGGCAUCCAAGCCCGAUGCAGCGAGAAGCAGUUUUCCAUCAAUCAACGAUUUUACAUCCAGAAGUUCCAACAGCGUUCUGGGUUAACCGAAGCGAAGUCUUCGGGCAUUCCUUUGGACCCAGGCCACCCGCAUCAAAAGGAGAGCAAGAAACCGCCCAACGAUUACCAGUAUUCAAGUCAAAGCUCCGCAAAGCAUCACAAUGACAACCUCGACAUGUCACUGAUGCUAGGCUAGGGGAAGGACACCCAAGGGGAAUGUCACUAACCCACGAACAGAUAGUUGUUUGACCUUCGAGUGCACUACAACAGACGUGGAGGAGAAAUGAAAUCGUCUCUCUAAGCCACAGCAAUGAAGAUUCUGGACAACAUCAGCCUUAGUUCCUCGACGAUGGAGAAGACACUUCAACUAACAAGGAUGUAGAACAAAUUAUCCUAACCUCCUUACCGAGAACUUUUUAGCGUUCUGCAGCAGCUUGUUUUCGCGCAAUCAGCAAACGAUCCGUGUUUGUACGAUCGAAGACGAGACAAUCUGAUUUGAAUGAUACGGUCAUCGCUUGAUGACGACUCUAAGUCGCAACUUGCACGCCAUCUAUAUCAAUCAUCGAUUCUACAUCCAGAAGCUCCGCCAGCGUUAUGGGUUAACCGAAGCGAAGUCUUCGGACAUUCCUUUGGACCCAGGCCACCAGCAUCAAAAGGAGAGCAAGAAACCGCCCAACGAUUACCAUUAUUCAAGUCAAAGCUCCGCAAAGCAUCACAAUGACAACCUCUACAUGUCACUGAUGCUUGGCUAGGGGAUGGACACCCAAGGGGAAUGUCACUAACCCACAAAGAGAUAGUUAUUUGACCUUCAAGGGCACUACAACAGACGUGGAGGAGAAAUGAAAUCGUCGCUGUAAGCCUCAGCAAUGAACAACGUUCUGGACAACGUCAGCCUGAGUUCCUCGACGAUGGAGAAGACACUUCAACUAACAAGGAUGUAGAACAAGUCAUCCUAACCUCCUAACCGAGAACUUUUUAACGUCCUGCAGCAGCUAGUUUUCACGCAAUCAGCAAACGAUCCGUGUUUGUACGAUCGAAGACGAGACAAUCUGAUUUGAGUGAUAUGGUCAUUGCUUGAAGACAACUUUAAACCGCAGCUUGCACGCCAUCUCCUGGAUCCAAAUCCGACGCAGCAAGAAGCAGUUUUCCAUCAAUAAUCGGAUCUACAUCCAGAACCUGUUGGGGCGUUCUGGGUUAACCGAAGCGAAGUCGUCGAACAUUCCUCUGUAUCCUGACCACCCGCAUCAGAAGGAGGAGAGCAAGAAACUGCCGAUCGAUUACCUGUAUUCAAGCCAAAGCCCGACAAAUCAUCACAAUAACAACCUCGACAUCUCACUGAUGCUUGGCUAGGGGAAGGACAUCCAAGGGGAAUGUCACUAACCGACAAACAGAUAGAUAUUUGACCUUCGAGUGCACUUAAGUAGACGAGGAGAUGAAAUGAAAUCGUCGCUGUAAGCCUCAGCAAUGAACAACGUUUUGGACAACGUCAGCCCAAGUUCCCCGGCGAUGCAGAAGACACUUCACUAACAAGGAUGUAGGACAAGUCAACCUAACCUCCUAACCGAGAACUUUCUGGCUGUGUCAUGCAUCAGAUAACCUUGAGCGUGAGACUAGGUCUCUGCCUUCCUCUUAGUUACGUAGGACGCUUCCAGCAUAACCCGACACCUGGAAGCUCCUGGACAUCGUUUAGGAGAAAUAUAUACUUUGAAUGGUCAUACGCGAUGGGACUGGCUUUCAAGAGAACUGAAGGAAGUGAACCGUGCGAUCGCUUCAUUCAGAAGCUGAUUGGUCAACAGAUCUGGAGAAGCGGAAAUCAGCGGCAGGCUACCUAUACGCGUUUUUAUAGGUGUCCUGUUUCCUGCUUUGUAGUCGUAAACAAGCCACAGUAUCUACACCUUCCAAUGAAGUCAAAUGUGUUACACUGAGAACGGCGGUAUCCGAGGACAUAUGGUUUGCUGGAAACUUAGGAGACUUGGGAUGCAAGAAGUCACAAGAAUGUUCCUGCAUGAAGACAACACAGGUUUUACAGCACUCACUGAGAAUCCCUAUUCUAAACGAGUCAAAGAAUUGACGUUUACCACCACUUGGUAGCGGCUGGAAGAAUCAAGUUCGAUCCAAUACCAGCAAUCCAUCAAGUCUUAUGAAGGUGAGAUCGUUUUAUAUAACCAUCAAACAAGUAUUCACUACACAGGCACAUUUACGGUCAAAGCUCCAAUCGACAGAGAAAGAAGAUAAAACAUUGAUUUUAGAAGAUGACCAUUUCCGUUCCCUAGGGGUCGUUACGCCCCUCCAUCCUCCCAAUCUGGGAAAGAACAGCCAACGCAGAUUCGUUCUGGGGACGACGCCAGCGAAACAGCGAAGCGAAGGAGCCAGCAACGACGCGAAUGGAAAAUGAUUGAAGUGGCAUAGAAAAUUAAUAGCAGUCACGCAAUCGAAAAUUUCGUUCUAUCGUCCGGUGCCGUCGCCUACUACGGACAGGGGGCGCAACGCCCCAUCUUCCUAGCUAGGGCUAGGUGGAUGGGGGGACGCACGGCAAAGUAGCAAGCAAAUUAAACUAAUCAGAAAACCAUGCUCGCGGCGCGGCGCGGCACGGCAGAUCCGCAGAAGAUGCUAUCUGACUGUUUGAUUCGUCUUCGGCUAUUUUCUUCGCAAACUUUUCUCACAG